Choloepus didactylus (southern two-toed sloth) is the source of this 866-nucleotide long non-coding RNA. RefSeq lists it as uncharacterized. The record is from RefSeq and is a predicted model, not a curated record. NCBI's taxonomy places the organism in Eukaryota, Metazoa, Chordata, Mammalia, Pilosa, Megalonychidae. The transcript is spliced from 3 exons.
CCGGGGGCGGGGCCUCUCCCCGGCCCACGGCGCCGUUGGGCGGGGUGGCGCGGCGGGCGGGCCCGGGCCGUCUGGUUUCUUUGCCAAGAUCCUUACAAAACCCACGUGUGGUGUUAACGCCAGAAAGAGCCUGUGGCUUUGCAGGCGGAACAGGGAGUCAGAGGUAGCACUCCUGGUUUUGUUUCUUUGAAGAAGAGUCUGGCAAAGGAUGCCUUGGGUCCCACGCCUCCCCAGAACCAAAUUGGCCUGGAGAAGCAGCAGGGGUAACAAAGCUCGGCUUUUGGAGUUGAACACCAGGCUCCUUCCGGCCAGCCCCGUGCACCCUAACUAGGACUGGGAGGCAACGAGGACAAGAAUUGCUUCUGGAGACUUCCAGGUCGUGUGUGUGUCAUGGGUCCCAAGGCCCUUCCGCCGGCUCCUGCUUCCUCGUGGUUCCCGACGAGCUGCUACUCCUGGGCUCCCAAAGCAGAAGAGAACAAGCCGGAGACUGUGAGACGCGCAACACAGUGUCUUCUCCCUCCGCCGACUAGUCUGAGAAGUUUCUGAAGCUGCAGCAGACAGGAGGUGGUUGAGUCUUCCUUGAGGACAUCAAGAUGCCAGAACAUUCCGCCCAGAGGAGUGGUCCGAGAGCAACAGACUGUGUGUGAUGCUUGGGAAACAGAGAAGCGCCAGUCUCCACUGGAACCGCACAACCUGGCCACUGGCAAGGACGACCCCACCUGUGUGAUCCUGCUGCAACCUGACACCUGAGCGAGCAGGUGAAACCUGUCGCGGAAUUGGGUGACCGCGGAACCACCGUGCAGGGUGGGGCCGGGGCCGGGCCUGGCGGGGGUCCUCUGGCAAGCACACCCUGGGAAGCAGCGAUG